UUGUUAUGCUGCGCCCUGGGAACUGGGCUGGGAUUUCUCCCCCUGCUUCGUGCAGGCAGCUCUGCAGUUUGCCAGGGCGAAGCUGUGGACCUGCCUGCUCGUCAGUAAGCAUCUGCUUACAGAUUGUGCCCUCCCCUCCCCCGUUUUACAUUGUUUUAAUUCAUUACCUUUUUGCAGUCCCCAAGUGACCUCCUUCGGUGCUGGCUCUGCUGUGGUUUGACCACAGCUCUGCAUUAAAGCUGGCUCCUAGUGCUAAUGCGCCCUGCGAGCCAGAGCAACCCUGCCUGGGGGACUGGCCCCCACCGAGCUAAUGCAGAUGCUCUGUUUCCAUGACAGAACCCUGCACACCACUGUUUCUCCAGCACAUCCCUUUUCUGACCCAGGGAAACACAGGAUUGUUUGUGUAACCCCGCUCCACACCUUUGUAAGUAUUACAACCACGCAGUGAUCUCAGAGCCUCCUGGGCAGUGGGAGCUGGCCUUGCGGAGGAGCGGGAAGCAUGGUGCUCUGGUUGUGUAAGUGUGUGUUGUACACGGGCCACAGAAACCCACAAUGUUUCUGUGGUUACUACUGUCUGGAUAGCACGAGUAGGUCCCAGGGCUUCCCCUUCCCACUGCUUACUAAUUCACAAAAGCAGAGGCUUUGUGGAAAAAAAGCUCUGCCCUGUGGCCUUCACCAAAAAUAAAUAAAUAAAGUGCUGUGGAUUAGUCAUCCUCGUUGUUAGAGGAA
Neopsephotus bourkii (Bourke's parrot) is the source of this 729-nucleotide long non-coding RNA. RefSeq lists it as uncharacterized. The transcript is spliced from 2 exons. The record is from RefSeq and is a predicted model, not a curated record. Lineage: Eukaryota; Metazoa; Chordata; Aves; Psittaciformes; Psittacidae.